UGGGGAAUAUUGGGCAAUGGGCGCAAGCCUGACCCAGCAACGCCGCGUGAGGGAAGAAUGUCUUCGGAUUGUAAACCUCUGUCCUUGGGGACGAAAAAAAUGACGGUACCCAAGGAGGAAGCUCCGGCUAACUACGUGCCAGCAGCCGCGGUAAUACGUAGGGAGCAAGCGUUGUCCGGAAUUACUUGGCGUAAAGGGUGCGUAGGCGGUCAGGCAAGUCAGAUGUGAAAUCCCCGGGCUUAACUCGGGUGGUGCAUUUGAAACUGCUUGACUUGAGUGCAGGAGAGGAAAGCGGAAUUCCUAGUGUAGCGGUGAAAUGCGUAGAUAUUAGGAGGAACACCAGUGGCGAAGGCGGCUUUCUGGACUAUAACUGACGCUGAGGCACGAAAGCGUGGGGAGCAAACA
This 405-nucleotide ribosomal RNA is filed under the name uncultured prokaryote. RNAcentral describes it as "bacterial SSU rRNA". It matches the Rfam family "Bacterial small subunit ribosomal RNA", at positions 355 to 774 of the family's 1533-position model. The record is from RNAcentral.